Molecule: long non-coding RNA, 2069 nt
Filed under: Salmo salar (Atlantic salmon)
Lineage: Eukaryota; Metazoa; Chordata; Actinopteri; Salmoniformes; Salmonidae
Description: lncRNA (ENSSSAG00000097342.1)
Source: RNAcentral
CCUCACUGGGCUGCGUCCCAAUGGCACCCUAUUCCCUAUAUAGUGCACAAUGUAGGGAAUAGGGUGCCAUUGUAGCAUAUGACUGUGGCCAGGAAGAGAGAGCGGGGUCUGACCUGGAGGUUAAACAGGAAUACACUGUUAAAUGACUGCUCCUGGUUACUUGAUUGCAUGCAACGUUUUGACUGCAUUAAGCUCAAUAUUUGUGUUAGCUCCCUGGGCUAAUGCCUAGGAGAUUAGCUCAGUGGGCUUUCAUAGUCUUGUGGUGUCACGUUAGUGUACAGACAGGCUUCAGCUGUACAGCACUCAGUGGUAUCAUCAGAAACACACCUGUCAAUCAAUCAACUCAUCAAUCAUACUAGUCAAUCAAUCAUACUAGUCAAUCAUACUACUGAUGCUUACUGAGAUGCAGUUUCUGGGGUGCUACUGUAUGUCUGUAACGUGUCUGUAUGAAUGUCUGUAGCGUGUCUGUAUGCAUGUCUGUAUGAAUGUCUGUAGUGUGUCUGUAUGAAUGUCUGUAGUGUUUCUGUAUGCAUAUCUGUAGCGUGUCUGUAUGCAUAUCUGUAGCGUGUCUGUAUGAAUGUCUGUAGUGUGUCUGUAUGCAUAUCUGUAGCGUGUCUGUAUGAAUGUCUGUAGGACUGUCUGUAGGACUGUCUGUAGCGUGUCUGAAGGACUGUCUGUAGCGUGUCUGAAGGACUGUCUGUAUGAAUGUCUGUAGGACUGUCUGUAGCGUGUCUGAAGGACUGUCUGUAGCGUGUCUGUAUGAAUGUCUGAAGGACUGUCUGUAGCGAAUCAUACUAGUCAAUCAUACCAGUCAAUCAUACUACUGAUGCUUACUGAGAUGCAGUUACUGGGGUGCUACUGUAUGUCUGUAGCGUGUCUGUAGCGUGUGUCUGUCUUUCGGACCGUCUGUAGCGUGUGUCUGUCUUUCGGACCGUCUGUAGCGUGUGUCUGUCUUUCGGACCGUCUGUAGCGUGUGUCUGUCUUUCGGACCGUCUGUAGCGUGUGUCUGUCUUUCGGACUGUCUGUAGCGUGUGUCUGUCUUUCGGACCAUCUGUAGCGUGUGUCUGUCUGCAGCGUGUCUGUAGGACCGUCUGUAGCGUGUCUGUCUUUCGGACUGUCUGCAGCGUGUGUCUGUAGGACUGUCUGUAGCUAGGACUGUCUGUAGCGUGUGUCUGCAGGACUGUCUGUAGCACGUCUGUGGGACCGUCUGUAGCGUGUCUUUCAGACUGUCUGUAGUGUGUCUGUCUGUCGGACGGUAGCAUGUCUGUCGGACUGUCUGUAGCGUGUCUGUAGGACUGUCUGUAGCACUGUCUGUAGCGUGUCUGUAGGACUGUCUGUAGCUUGUCCGUAGGACUGUCUGUAGGACUGUCUGUAGCUUGUCCGUAGGACUGUCUGUAGCACUGUUUGUAGCGUGUCUGUAGGACUGUAUGUAGCGUGUCCGUAGGACUGUCUGUAGGACUGUCUGUAGCGUGUCUGUAGGACUGUCUGUAGGACGUCUGUAGAACUGUCUGUAGCGUGUCUUUUGGACUGUCUGUAGCGUGUCCGUAGGACUGUCUGUAGCGUGUCCGUAGGACUGUCUGUAGCGUGUCUUUCGGACUGUCUGUAGCGUGUCUUUCGGACUGUCUGUCGGACUGUCUGUAGCGUGUCUGUAUGACUGUCUGUAGCUUGUCCGUAGGACUGUCUGUAGGACUGUCUGUAGCGUGUCUGUAGGACUGUCUGUAGCGUGUCUGUAGGACUGUCUGUAGCGUGUCCGUAGGACUGCCUGUAGGACUGUCUGUAGCGUGUCUGUAGCGUGUCUGUAUGACUGUCUGUAGCGUGUCUGUAGGACUGUCUGUAGCGUGUCCGUAGGACUGUCUGUAGGACUGUCUGUAGCGUGUCUUUCGGACUGUCUGUUGCGUGUCUGUAGCGUGUCCGUAGGACUGUCAUUCGGACUGUCUGUAGCGUGACUGUCUGUAGCGUCUUUCGGACUGUCUGUAGCGUGUCUUUCGGACUGUCUGUAGCGUGUCCGUAGAACUGUCUGUAGCGUGUCCGUAGGACUGUCUGUAGCUUGUCCGUAGGACUGUCUGUAG